GACAUCCUAGGGGAGGGUCCCCGAGAAUCCUGGAACGGCAACGCCGACGUCGAGGCCGAGCGCUGCAUCUGCAACCCCAUCAGCGGCGAGGUGCUCCGCCUCCCGUACCCCGGUGGCCCCGGAGGGUCCAGGAAGAACCUGGGCCACCGCCACAUGGGCCUCCUCACCCAAGCCGGCGGCGGUUGCGGGCACGGCCCCCCUGACAGGUUCGCCGUCGCCGACAUCGUCAGCCAGCGUGACCGCAUCGUCGAUCGGUUUCUCCCGGAGGUAGGCAGGUGGGAUCUGCUUCUUGGCGUACCAUGCCGGCCACCGCUCGCGUGGGAGAUGGAGAUGGACCAAGAGACGGUGGCCUUCGCCGGCCGCCUCUGGUGGGUCGACCUGACCUGCGGCGCCGUCUCCAUGGACCCGUUCAGCAACCAGCCGGAGCUCCGCUUCGUCCCGCUGCCGAAUGGCACCUCGCUCACCUUCAUUCUCUUGGAACACAAAGACUCGAGCGCGGAGCAUCUUGCCCAGUUCAGGCGGGAGGUGGCCAAGUGCCGGCGCAUCGGCGUCAGCGAGGGGAGGCUGCGCUUCGUUGACGCGUCCAUUCACGACCCAUUCCUGCUCAGCUCGUUUGUGCUUGACGACGAGGCCAGGAGCUGGACGCUGGAGCACCAGGUGGAGCUCAGGAAGGUCUUGGAGGAUGGAGGCCACCCGUGCGAACAGGCGAAGAGGCCGCCGCAGAUCGCCGUCAUCGACCCACUCAACGCCGACAUCAUCUACAUCACCGUCGGCGAGCAGAAGCACAUCGUCGCCGUGGACAUGUACCAGGAGAAGGUGAUUGGGAGCUCUCCGCUUCAAAACCAAUACCAUUCGCUUGUACCAUGCGUUCUUCCACCCUGGCUUGGAUCAAGCCAGAUUCCUAACAAAGAUUGA
This 915-nucleotide ribosomal RNA is filed under the name Triticum aestivum (bread wheat). Its description in RNAcentral is "partial small subunit ribosomal RNA". Lineage: Eukaryota; Viridiplantae; Streptophyta; Magnoliopsida; Poales; Poaceae. The record is from RNAcentral.